AAGUUGCCGUUUUUAUUCCUCCUGUUGGGAUAACAUUUUUUAAAAGUUUCUUGGGUUUUUAGUGUUGCUGAUUGAUUGCCUAACCCUUAAUGAACCUCCCCCUGCCGCGACGCUGUUACAGCCGUUAUCCUUGACUUCCAACACUGGAAGUGUCUUGAAUGCUUGCUUCAGCCAUCAGCCAGCAAGGAAGAACAGACCAAUUCUUUUUGCGAUUUGCCCCUGAGAUAUGGCAUUGCACUGCUUAUAUAUCACGCUAAUUGAUAGCAAAAUAUUGAUCAAUGAUAUAAAGGUGAUGACUCAACCUCAUGCCAAGGGCUCUCAAAGUAUAAUUGUUCUAUGACCAACUGCUAAGGCCAAUUGAAGCAUACUUCAUUUUACAUGAUUUUAGGAUCAGUCUUUUAUACCACCCUUUGCUGGCAUAAACUAAAAGUCUAUCACAUACAGAACUACAGUCUAAUUUCAAUGGGGUAGAAGCAUUGUAAAUAUAUACUCUUUGCAACUCCUGGUGGUACUUUAUUUUGUCUUUAUUUCAACCAUUGAAAUAUAUUCUUGGAAAUGUACUUUUGGAUAAGUAGGGCUGAGCCAGUUGGACCUCUGGUUGUCUAGUCAUUGUGAGAAGUAAACCUAGCAAAAAUCUUGUUCUAUUUUUCAAUCAAAAAGCAACUACAAAUGCAUAUUCCACGCAAAUGGAUGUUUUUAACGACCAAUUGAGUAAAGACAUCCCUAUCUUAACUGGCCUAAAUUUCUUCUGGUAGUGUCAGAUCACCUUUCAGAAGUGCCACUUAAGGAGGUUUGUUUGAUUUUUUUUGUUGUUGUUGUUGUUGUUGUUUUUUGUAAUGCACUGUUUUUAAUCUUUUUUUUUUUGGUUUUAAAAGCACAAUCACUAAACUUUAUUUGUAAACCAUUGUAACUAUUAACCUUUUUUUUCUUAUUGAAGAAACUGUUGAGAAGUGUUUCUAGCCUGUUUUGUUAAUGCUCUGUGUUUGUAUUUGCAAUAUUUGAAUGGUGACAGCUGGUGAGGUCACGUACAGACUUUAUCGUGGGCUGUGAACCAAAUGGUUCCAAUUUUUCCUGGACUUAAAAAAAAAUUUUUUUGUUCUAAGUUUUUCGUGGCCAAUGUUGAAUCUUAUAAGAUUUCCUUAGAAGCUCAUAAGAGGAAUUCCAACUCGGAAUUGCCAAGUGAUGCUCUGUGACUGUAGGUUUCUAUAAUUUUUUUUGACAUUUUAAGAAUUUCAUUGACUUUAUAAUUGGUGCUAUUUGAAGAAAACAAAAUGAAUCUUUAGUCAUGCAUAGGUAUCAGGCUUGACCCCCACAAAGCCAAACAAAACUGAACUACAAAAUAAAUAAAUAAAUAAAUAAAUAAAUAAAUAAAUAAAAGCAAAUAAAAACAAAAGGCUGGUAUUCACCUAAAACUAAGUGUAUUCAUUUAGCUAAUUUGAAGAAGCCCCAUGUCCCAUAGAAAGGAUGUGCAGUUCUAAGGGAACAAUCCACGUGAUUAAUGUUUUCAUUAUGUUCAUGUAAGAAACCUCUUUAUUUUUAGCCAUACUUUUGCAUACUGAAAAUUCAAUAAUCAGAAAAGUAAUUUUGUCAUAUUAUUUAUUAAAAAUGUUCUCAAAUACAUCAUCCUUCCUUGUGUUGAUUUUUUUUUUCAUUGUAUGACUAUCAGAUUUAUUCCAUUAAAUCACAAAGUUGUUUUGUCUUCGCAUUUCACCACCACAUUAUGAAAACGAAGGAGUUCUCAGUUUUCCUAAUGAGCAUCCAGGUUCUACUACCAAGCAAAAAAUUCUCAUUGCAGUUGUGUGAAGUAAGUGGGAGCUGAUUCUCAAGUUGAAGUUAGCUGUGUGGUCAGAGAGCGACUCUGAAAGGUGUGCUGUGUUUGGUUCUGUAUGUGUAUCUGAAUUUCAGUUAGCCUGUUUCUGAAAUGAUCAGGAUGCAACUCCAGUAAACCUCAUUGGUCAAGCUUGAACCACCUAUGUUCUGUCAGUAAGAAAGCUUAUAAAUCCCAUUGCUUGUCAGAGAAAAUUUGGGCUGGCACUGAUAUACCAGGUUGCACGCUGUGAUCAGUUAAAGCACCAUACUGCAGAAUGUCACGUGGAUGGGGUACCAUGGCUACCGUGGCUUGGAAAUGUCAAGAUCCACAGAAUGUCCUGGAGCUUAGAUCCCUGACACCCACCCACCCACCCUGUGAUAUAGAUUCUUCUUCUUUUACCUAAAUUUUUGUGUUUACCAGAAAAGCUGAAGAAAUGAAACGGAACAAUGAAGGGCUUAAUUUGGAAUGUAAUUUUAUAAAAGUGAUGUGAUUAUCAUCAUCUACUUGAUAUAUAAACAGACCUAGAGGUCAAGGAGCUAGUUUCUUUGUUAAAAAACAAAUCACUGUGGGUUGGGGAGGGGGGAUAAGGAACAUAUGUAAUGGACAGAUUUUCUUUUUCUAGGUGGGUGAACUACUAAUAAGCUACUAUCUCUCUUUUAUAUUACAUGCUGCAGUUCACACACAAAAUUCUGUAUAUCAGAAGGCCGGGACAAGACCGGAUCCUGGCUUUGUCCCGGUUGUGUUUCUUUGGACAUGUUACCUAACCUCUAAGUCUCAGGUACUUCACCUGUAAAGUCAGUAAUACCUACCUCAAGGAGCGAUUGUCAUGAUUCAGUGAGUUGAUGUAUCUACACAGACUCUGUAAACUCCACAACGGUAUUAAGAUAUUGUUAUCUUUAUGGACUGAAAUUCACUACACAUGCAGUCUCCAUGUUUUUCAUCCCUGAUUUGUUCCUAAACAUUUGCAUGAGAGAAAAAGCAUAAGUGUGGUGUAAGGACGAGGGUCCUUCCAUCUCUGGUAAGUAAAACUCACUGUGAAAUUACCCCAUUGUGGAAUAAAUGCUUGCUGUUCUUGUUCGUUUCUUUGCUUUCGAAUGCAAGGGCAGUAAAUGAAUUGCUGGCAUUGUAUUUCUGGUAUUUUCUUCUUUGCACAGUUGGUAAUACAGAUAUGUCACUUGAGUUCUCAAUAAAUGGAUUUAGUGUC
This 3014-nucleotide long non-coding RNA is filed under the name Mus musculus (house mouse). RNAcentral describes it as "long non-coding RNA chr16:73044475-73047489". The record is from RNAcentral. Lineage: Eukaryota; Metazoa; Chordata; Mammalia; Rodentia; Muridae.